GUGUUAUGGUUCUUUCAUAAAUGUCACCAAAGCACAGCCUCCUCCUCCAACUCCUCCAUAGACUCUAAUGUUAAAAUGGCUCAGAAGGUUCGUUUGAAAAUCAGAAGAGCAUGGUGUUUUUACACUGUCACCACGUCCAUAUAAUAAACUCCACAGGCAUGAAAACUGAGAAUUAGGUAGACUGGACAUUGCUGCCACUCACGGUGAAAGAAUUUCGUCAAUAGGACCUGUACUUUUCAUUUGGGAAGGAUUUGUUUGGGCCUGACUUUUCUGUUCAUUUUAAGCAGCAAAAGUGAGGUGCAUGUCUGUGCGUGUGUAUGGAGCCAUUGGGUGCAGUCACUAUAGCAACCAGGCUCACACCUGCCUGCUUAACGAGCUCUGUCUCUCACUGUGCCAAGAUUCAUCUUAAACACUUGUCUUUCAACCACUGCUGUGUCCACAGUGUUUGCUCUACAGCCAUCAUUUUACCCUCAAAACGUCGCCAUCGUUCUUCUCUUUCCAACAGCGUGUCUGUCAAAGCUCAUAGAUACAAACUUUUUAAACUGUGUGGAUCCAAGUGGAGGGAUCACAUUUUAGUCAUUCAGUGAUUUAAAGAAUAUGAACUUUUAUUAUUCAUUCAGAUGUUUUCUGACUUUAAAUUUUCUUUUCUC
Long non-coding RNA from Oreochromis aureus, 650 nucleotides. Lineage: Eukaryota; Metazoa; Chordata; Actinopteri; Cichliformes; Cichlidae. The record is from Ensembl.